CAGUCGCCACGGUAAUACGAAGGGUGCAAGCGUUACUCGGAAUUACUGGGCGUAAAGCGUGUGUAGGUGGUUGUUUAAGUCUGUCGUGAAAGCCCUGGGCUCAACCUGGGAAUUGCGAUGGAUACUGGGCGACUAGAGUGCGGUAGAGGAUAGUGGAAUUUCCGGUGUAGCAGUGAAAUGCGUAGAGAUCGGAAGGAACAUCUGUGGCGAAGGCGACUAUCUGGGCCAACACUGACACUGAGACACGAAAGCGUGGGGAGCAAGCAGGAUUAGAUACCCCAGUAGUCCCUGUCUCUUAUAC
RNAcentral lists this ribosomal RNA (301 nucleotides) under uncultured bacterium. RNAcentral describes it as "partial 16S ribosomal RNA". It matches the Rfam family "Bacterial small subunit ribosomal RNA", at positions 509 to 807 of the family's 1533-position model. The record is from RNAcentral.